Molecule: ribosomal RNA, 251 nt
Filed under: uncultured bacterium
Lineage: Bacteria
Description: partial 16S ribosomal RNA
Rfam family: Bacterial small subunit ribosomal RNA
Source: RNAcentral
ACGUAUGGUGCAAGCGUUAUCCGGAUUUACUGGGUGUAAAGGGAGCGUAGACGGCUGUGUAAGUCUGAAGUGAAAGCCCGGGGCUCAACCCCGGGACUGCUUUGGAAACUAUGCAGCUAGAGUGUUGGAGAGGUAAGUGGAAUUCCCAGUGUAGCGGUGAAAUGCGUAGAUAUUGGGAGGAACACCAGUGGCGAAGGCGGCUUACUGGACGAUGACUGACGUUGAGGCUCGAAAGCGUGGGGAGCAAACAG